GAGUUUUUUUUUUGUACUGUAACGUUUAUUGUUAAUAUCAAACGGUUUUGUUGUUUUAAGUUUGUUCAAAUGCAAUAUUUAAUGAUGUGUAUACAAUAUAUUAUAUUUAUAUAUAUCUAAUAAUGUUCUACGCGUGUGAAAUAAAACGUGUUUAUAAUACAAAAGUAUCGUCGGCGAAAAUGUAAAUAGUUAAGUACAAGUAUCAAUACAAUAUUAUACUAUGAUAUAAUAUAAUAUGAUAACUCGCUCGUUCUUGAGAGAUCCCUUGCCGCUAAGAUUCAGAGGACGGCGGUCACUUAUACAACCGGCUCUUACGCAGUAUCAUUGGCCACAGACGGACCAGUGAAAACCUUCAUAACGUGGAUUCGCAUCGUGGGAAUGUUGUAACGGUUAUGUUUAAAUGCAAUAUUAUAUUAAGUGUAGCGUACAACAUUUGCAUUAUGCGGAUCUUCAUAAUGAAAGCUUUUUCCGGUCCGUCCCUGGCCACUGACACUACGUAGGGACCGAUCACAUAAGUGGCCGCCGAUCCCAGCAUCCUGACGGCGAGACAGACACCUUUAAACAAGCAGACGACCCGCCCGGUCAGUGACACCGUAAAACAUUUAAUUCCAAGUAUGUAGGUGGGUAUAUUAUAUAUUAAAUGAAUGCGCCGCCGCCGCCGCCACUAACCUGUAGCCAUGUUCCUCUCGUUCUUGGGGAACCACAACGCCGACAUGGUGAUUAUGAGAGGCGUCAUCAACACGCCGCCCACGGACAAGAAUAUCGCCGACAUGUGCAGACACCUACAAUGACACGAUAAUAUUGUUACGAUAUUCAGUGCGAUGAAUGGUUGUAAUCGUCUUAAUAGCUGUGCCUACGCGUUACGAAGGGAGCGCGCUACUGUCCAUACACAUUACAUAAUAUAAUAUCGUGUACUUCGUCGGUUGUACAGAUUUAGCACGCGUUAACGCUCCCUACUAUAUAGAUGUACCGAUUGUAUAAUGAUAAAGUAAAAUUGUAAUUGAUUUUUUGUUCGACGGUUAUAAUAAUAAAAUCUGAAAACUCGUUAUCGAUAAGUGCGAUUGUUUAAAUUUCAAAUAAACCUCGAAAUACAUGAGUAAA
Molecule: long non-coding RNA, 1101 nt
Organism: Rhopalosiphum padi (bird cherry-oat aphid)
Lineage: Eukaryota; Metazoa; Arthropoda; Insecta; Hemiptera; Aphididae
Exons: 2
Source: RefSeq, a predicted model, not a curated record